RNAcentral lists this long non-coding RNA (1044 nucleotides) under Canis lupus familiaris (dog). RNAcentral's name for it is "lncRNA (ENSCAFG00030002681.1)". Lineage: Eukaryota; Metazoa; Chordata; Mammalia; Carnivora; Canidae. The record is from RNAcentral.
ACUUGGGCAGGGCACCCCGAGCUCCCCGACCCUGCAGCUCGUAGCAAACACGCUGCUGCAUUCACUGCCAUCGGAGCCUCCACGCUCACCCCCACAUUUACUCCUCCUGGGCGGGGUCUCCCCGCGGCACCCAACAGGCACCCAAGAGCGCGCCUCGCCGCUCGCUCGCUCGGGGCGGGCACCCGCAGGCCGCAGGUGUCAGGGCCAGGUCUCCCCGGAGCCACCCCACUGCGCGGGUCCUGCGCCCCCUCCACGCGGGCGGGCGGGCGGGGGAGGGGGGCUUGCAGGCCCAGGUCUCCCGCGCUCGGCCGCGCGCCCGGCGCCCCUUCGCUGCACGUGGCGGAGGCGGGGGGCGGGGGGUCCGCCCGGGGGCGCCCGCAGCUCCGCGCCGCCCACUUCCAGGCGACCACGCGCACCGGGAGCGGGGCGGCCGGUCUCGGGGCGCCGAGGGGCUGCGGGGGAGUCGGGCGGCGCAGUCCCGCGGGAGGGGGGUGGGGGGGCAGAGGCGCCUCCCGCGGGGGUCCUAACUCCGUAGCCCUUCCCGCCGCGGGCACAGACCUCCCUCCCGGGCAGGGCAGAAGCACGCGGCGGGGAAAGGCGGCGUCCUCGGAGGUCCCGCCGGGAGCCCCGGGGCGGGUCCGCGCAGGGGGGCGGGCGGCGGGCGGCGGGGGUACUCACCCCGCGGCGGGGUCCCGGGCGGCGGGCGCGGGCGGCGGGGCCCCGGGUCCCGGGUCCCGGGCGGCGGGUGCGGGCGGCGGGCGCCCGUGGACGUGCAGGGCCGGCCCCGCGCCGGGCUAUGAAUCAGCUGCGGGGCGAGCGCCGAGGGGCGGGAGUUACGGGAAAACCGCGGGGGAGGGCAGAGGGCUGAGGACUUUUGCAAUUUCCCGUCCUGCUGCGCACUCUUGGCGCUCCCGGGACCCACAGGAAUUCUCCCCUCCGGGUCCCGGGGGAAGCGGCCGGGACCCCGCGGGAGGCCCGGGCGGGGGCGAGGAGGCGGGGGAGGCCUGGGGAGGGCGAGCGGCCCUCGGCGGCCCGGGCCGGUGA